Long non-coding RNA from Betta splendens (Siamese fighting fish), 1471 nucleotides. RefSeq lists it as uncharacterized. NCBI's taxonomy places the organism in Eukaryota, Metazoa, Chordata, Actinopteri, Anabantiformes, Osphronemidae. The record is from RefSeq and is a predicted model, not a curated record. The transcript is spliced from 2 exons.
GGUGGCCAAGACGGUGGUUGCUAAGGGUUGGCUCAUGGAACCAAGCUUUUUUUGUCUGUACUGAGGAUACAGACCAGUGUGCAGAUCUGAGCGCAGUCCAAAGGGAGUGGACAAGAAAUAAAAGACGGCUUCUGAAAGCCGGAGCGCGUUUGCAGAGUGAAGUGUUUUUGAGAUACGAGGGGCUAGAUUAGAGGGGGCCUAACGGUGAGGGAGCACUUCCGAGAACUCUGUCGCUGAUCUGAGCGGUUCCCUUUCUACAGAGACGUCCGUGGAAGAGAAAUUUCGAAAAAAGGUUCCGGCCGGAACACAUAAAAGUCUAAGGCAGGAAACCGCCGGGACUCUGAAAGAUGGGUUCGGGGCGAUCUAAGUCUCCACCACCAGACUGCAGAAUUACAAAAGUAAAAAGUACAAAGUAAAUAUGGUUAUUACUGCGUUUCAUGUUUCCAUGAGUGGGAAACUGGUUAUGGGUUCAAAAGGAGAAUCACUUAGUGUAAAAGACAUAUGCACCUUUAAAAGAAAAAUUAGAUACAAAAGAUGAAAUUCGAAAAAAGCAAAACUAUGAAAACUAAACCCCUAAAAGAAACAAAAGAGUGAUGAGAGUAACAGAAAAAAAGGAAAUAACAACUCUGGGAAAGAAUUUGCACUCUGCCACACACACACACACAGACCACACACACACACACACACAUAUCAUGUCAAGAGCAAAUGCUCCCAUUGUUUCUGCUCUCUGUUCUAAUGCAGAACUGAGCGCGAUGAGGGUAAAUCCGGAUCUGGACUCCUUUCCCACCAUCAGCAGAAGAACCGAAGGAGAAGAAGCGCCUGACCAACAACCAGAACAGGGUGGAAGCUCUGAUACCACAGCAGCUGGAGGAGACAGACCACAGCAUGGAGGCCUCGCAGACUCCCACAACGUCUGCAGCCAUCACGUUCUGGGCUCAUCAGACUGACCAGCUACUACAAGCGUGUGUGUCUGACACAGACACCUGCUUAUGACAAUCAGCAAAGGAAAACAAGGACAGAGAAACAGCAGAGUGGGAAGACGUGCUCUGACACAGACACUGGUUGAAACAACAGGAAAGACUUCAGACGUGAUCGGCCCAAUAGAGCUGCAUCUGAGGAUCCAGGAAAGGUCUGUCAUCGCAUUUGAAGAACAACUGUCCCAUCUACGUCAGGCUCGACCCACUAGCGCUCACAUCAGUGAGCGUUAGUGGGUGACGUAGAAAACGAGGACGCUCUGACUCAACACUCAGCCUUACAGGAAGGCCUGCUUCCCUGUGGCUCACACACAUAUAAUGUAGGUUUGAUCAGAGGAUGUGAACCAGUGGUCAUCACACCUAAAUCUGACCAUGAAUUCAAACAACAACACCCUCUAAAGGAAGCCAUAGAUGGCGUUACUGCAGACACCACUAAGCUACUGAAACAUUGGAUGCUCCAGGCCACAAAGAGAGCCUGUCUAAAUUACAUUUUUCUG